GAGGGAAACUUCAGCUAAUACCGAAUGUGCCCUUACGGGGAAAGAUUUAUCGCCAAUGGAUUAGCCCGCGUCCGAUUAGCUAGUUGGUGGGGUAAUGGCCCACCAAGGCUCCGAUCGGUAGCUGUUCUGAGAGGAAGAUCAGCCACACUGGGACUGAGACACGGCCCAGACUCCUACGGGAGGCAGCAGUUGGGAAUCUUGGACAAUGGGGGAAACCCUGAUCCAGCCAUGCCGCGUGAGUGAUGAAGGCCUUCGGGUUGUAAAACUCUUUCGACGGGGACGAUAAUGACGGUACCCGUAGAAGAAGCUCCGGCUAACUUCGUGCCAGCAGCCGCGGUAAUACGAAGGGGGCUAGCGUUGUUCGGAAUUACUGGGCGUAAAGCGCGCGCAGGCGGUCUUUCAAGUCAGUGGUGAAAGCCCGGAGCUCAACUCCGGAAAUGCCAUUGAAACUGUAAGACUUGAGGAUGAGAGAGGUGAGUGGAAUUCCCAGUGUAGAGGUGAAAUUCGUAGAUAUUGGGAAGAACACCGGUGGCGAAGGCGGCUCACUGGCU
This 551-nucleotide ribosomal RNA is filed under the name Rhizomicrobium sp. RNAcentral's name for it is "bacterial SSU rRNA". It matches the Rfam family "Bacterial small subunit ribosomal RNA", at positions 149 to 734 of the family's 1533-position model. Lineage: Bacteria; Pseudomonadati; Pseudomonadota; Alphaproteobacteria; Micropepsales; Micropepsaceae. The record is from RNAcentral.